RNAcentral lists this non-coding RNA (23 nucleotides) under Cricetulus griseus (Chinese hamster). The record is from RNAcentral. Lineage: Eukaryota; Metazoa; Chordata; Mammalia; Rodentia; Cricetidae.
CAAAAGAUCUGAUAUUCUGUGUA